This 207-nucleotide ribosomal RNA is filed under the name uncultured bacterium. RNAcentral's name for it is "partial 16S ribosomal RNA". It matches the Rfam family "Bacterial small subunit ribosomal RNA", at positions 568 to 774 of the family's 1533-position model. The record is from RNAcentral.
CGCGUAGACGGCUGUCUAAGUCUGGAGUGAAAGUCCUGUUUUCAAGAUGGGAAUUGCUUUGGAGACUGGAUGGCUUGAGUGCGGAAGAGGUAAGUGGAAUUCCCAGUGUAGCGGUGAAAUGCGUAGAGAUUGGGAGGAACACCAGUGGCGAAGGCGACUUACUGGGCCGUAACUGACGUUGAUGCGCGAAAGCGUGGGGAGCGAACA